GGGCCUCUGAAGUGUUCGUUAAGCCUGUACUAACUUCAUCCCUGGACUGUAGAAGACUCAGUGUGUAGAAGACAGGUCUGUUCCUACUUACAAAGGAAGGGCUUACAGUUUCUGUGAGCUCCAGGUAAGCAACAAAGAGACAAGAACAUCACACCUGGUAGGUGAGGUCCAUCUCCAUGGCAGCUGCACAGGUCUCAGAUUGAAGCCUCAGUGGUGGAAGUACAAGAAACUUCAAAGAAGAGCAAAGACAAGACUUCAUGUCAGAACCCCACAGUUCCAAGAAGCUUGAUAACGUCUGCACUGGCUUUUCCCUGACCUCACUCCUCUCCAUCUUCCAAAUUCCUCAAGGCCACAACUUCUCCCCUUUCCUUUACAGCUUUUGUUAUCUGCUGGAUGGCUAUUGAAUCCCCUUUCAGAUUCAGACCUCUUGUUGCCUGCCAUAAUAAAUAAGCCUUGUUCC
Long non-coding RNA from Fukomys damarensis (Damara mole-rat), 460 nucleotides. RefSeq lists it as uncharacterized. The transcript has 3 exons. NCBI's taxonomy places the organism in Eukaryota, Metazoa, Chordata, Mammalia, Rodentia, Bathyergidae. The record is from RefSeq and is a predicted model, not a curated record.